GGGGAAUAUUGCACAAUGAGCGAAAGCUUGAUGCAGCGACGCCGCGUGAGGGAUGACGGCCUUCGGGUUGUAAACCUCUUUCAGCUCUGACGAAGCUGCCUGGUUUUCUGGGUGGUGACGGUAGGGGUAGAAGAAGCGCCGGCCAACUACGUGCCAGCAGCCGCGGUAAGACGUAGGGCGCAAGCGUUGUCCGGAUUUAUUGGGCGUAAAGAGCUCGUAGGCGGCCUGUCGCGUCAACCGUGAAAGCCCGCGGCUUAACUGUGGGCGUGCGGUUGAUACGGGUGGGCUGGAGUUCGGUAGGGGAGACUGGAAUUCCUGGUGUAGCGGUGAAAUGCGCAGAUAUCAGGAGGAACACCGGUGGCGAAGGCGGGUCUCUGGGCCGAUACUGACGCUGAGGAGCGAAAGCGUGGGGAGCGAAC
Molecule: ribosomal RNA, 419 nt
Filed under: uncultured bacterium
Lineage: Bacteria
Description: bacterial SSU rRNA
Rfam family: Bacterial small subunit ribosomal RNA
Source: RNAcentral